GGGGAAUAUUGGACAAUGGGCGAAAGCCUGAUCCAGCCAUGCCGCGUGUGUGAAGAAGGUCUUCGGAUUGUAAAGCACUUUAAGUUGGGAGGAAGGGCAGUUACCUAAUACGUGAUUGUUUUGACGUUACCGACAGAAUAAGCACCGGCUAACUCUGUGCCAGCAGCCGCGGUAAUACAGAGGGUGCAAGCGUUAAUCGGAAUUAUUGGGCGUAAAGCGCGCGCAGGUGGUUUCUUAAGUCUGAUGUGAAAGCCCACGGCUUAACCGUGGAGGGUCAUUGGAAACUGGGAGACUUGAGUGCAGAAGAGGAAAGUGGAAUUCCAAGUGUAGCGGUGAAAUGUGUAGAGAUUUGGAGGAACACCAGUGGCGAAGGCGACUUUCUGGUCUGCAACUGACGCUGAGGCGCGAAAGCAUGGGGAGCAAACA
This 426-nucleotide ribosomal RNA is filed under the name uncultured bacterium. Its description in RNAcentral is "bacterial SSU rRNA". It matches the Rfam family "Bacterial small subunit ribosomal RNA", at positions 356 to 774 of the family's 1533-position model. The record is from RNAcentral.